This 1194-nucleotide ribosomal RNA is filed under the name Triticum aestivum (bread wheat). RNAcentral describes it as "partial small subunit ribosomal RNA". Lineage: Eukaryota; Viridiplantae; Streptophyta; Magnoliopsida; Poales; Poaceae. The record is from RNAcentral.
AUGGACGCCGCGGCGGCGCACGUCCUCGUCUUCCCCUGGCCGCGGCAGGGGCACAUCAACCCCAUGCUCCACCUCGCCGCCGCCCUCGUCGACGCCGGCGUCCGUGUCACCUUCCUCCACACCGACCACACCCUCCGCCGCCUCGCCCGCGCGCCCCCGCCCCCGCCGCCGCGCCCGAUGCGCGUGCUCUCCGUCCCCGACGGCCUCCCCUACUGCUUCCUGGACCUCAUGGCGUCCAUCUGCGACACAAGCCGCCCCGCCUACCGCGCCCUGCUACUCUCGUCGCUUCUAUCUUCUGGCGCUCCGGUGACGUGCGUCGUCGCCGACGGCACCAUGCCGUUCGCCGUCCAAGCCGCCGAGGAGCUCGGCGUCCCGGCGCUCGCCUUCGCCGCGCACAGCGCGUGCAGCUACCUGGCGCUGCUCUGCACGCCCCGGCUCGACGAGCUCGGGGAGACCGCCUUCCCGGCAGACGACCCGGUCCGCGGCGUCCCCGGGAUGGAGGGAUUCCUCCGGCGGCGAGACCUUCCCCGCGAGCUCCACUGCGCCGAGCAGGGCGGCUCGGACCCGAUGGUGCUCAAGGUCGCCGAGGCGAUCGCUCGUAGCUGCAAGGCGGCACGCGUGCUCCUGCUCAACACCGCCGCGUCCAUGGAGCGGCCGGCGCUGGCCCACGUCGCGUCGCGCGCAGCCACCGACGUCUUCGCCGUAGGCCCGCUGCACGCCGCCAGCUCGUCGAGGUCCGCCGCAAGCUCAAACACAAGCCUCUGGCAGGAGGACGAGGGGUGCAUGGCGUGGCUGGACGGCCAGGGGGACCGGUCCGUCGUGUACGUGAGCCUGGGGAGCCUCGCGGUGAUCACGCACGGGCAGUUCACCGAGUUCCUCGCCGGCCUCGCGGCCACCGGGCACGCCUUCCUCUGGGUGCUCCGGCCGGACCUGGUCCGCCCGGCCAGCCCUGGGCUGCUGCUCCGGGAAGCCGUCGCGGCAGCGGCAGGAGGCGGCGACAGGGCGCGCGUCGUGGAGUGGGCGCCUCAGCGGGACGUGCUCCGGCACCGGGCGGUGGGCUGCUUCCUGACGCACGCCGGCUGGAACUCGACUCUGGAGUGCGCCGCCGAGGGCGUGCCCAUGGUGUGCUGGCCCUUCUUCGCCGACCAGCAGACCAACAGCCGGUUCGUGGGAGCCGUGUGGGGCUGGACAUGA